RNAcentral lists this long non-coding RNA (1841 nucleotides) under Anas platyrhynchos platyrhynchos (common mallard). RNAcentral describes it as "lncRNA (ENSAPLG00000023346.1)". Lineage: Eukaryota; Metazoa; Chordata; Aves; Anseriformes; Anatidae. The record is from RNAcentral.
AUGGGAGGGAGGGAUAAAAUGCACACACACAUCCACACGCACACGCACGGAUCGGAGCUUUGUAAAACAGGCAGCUAUAGGCAAGGACCCGAACUGCCACCGUAUCGCAUCGGGCACUCUCUGCUAGCCUAUAGGAGGAGAGGAAGGAUGGAAGGAAGGAUGGAUGGAUGGAUGGAUGGAUGGUUGCAUGGAUGGAUGGAUGGAUGGAUGGAUGGAUGGAUGGAUGGAGCAGAGGAGCCAGCGAGAGCCGGAGCGCGUUGGCAGCCGGGCAGCGCAGCCUCCCCGGGACAGCUUAGCCCUAAGCGGGGAGCCAGGAGCCCUGCAGGAGGACAGGGGUUGGAGCUCCCCAUGCAGCCCUGCCUGGUCGUGGAUUUGCACCGCUGUUUGCCCAGGCAAGGCACAGAGACUGCAAUUAACCCUUUCUUAUGUUAUUAUCAUUAUUUUUUAAUUAUUAUUAUUUUUUUAAACUGCUUUCCUAGCCUCUUUCCCCCCACACCAGCUCCAUCAUCGCACAGCCUGUGCAGGGAGUAGGGGGGGGUCUCGCCCCAGUGCAACACCCCAGGGUGGGUUUGGGCUGGGGUGUGGGGGGGGAAGAGAGAGGUUGAGCAGAUGGAGGAAAGGGGGACGUGGGAUUUGGGGAGAGGUCCCUGCUGCAUCCCGGAGGCUUUGGGGUGAAGGUGCUGCCUCCGGGUGUGCAGCCAGGGGGAGGUCCCCAGUAAUGAGGAGCUUAAUGAAGGGGGGGGGGGGGGGAGGAGGAGGAGGAGGGGGAGGAAGGGAUGGAGGGGAGAGAGAGCAGGGGGAGGGCAGGGGGACUCCAGCAUCCUGCCAGACUCCAGGACAUGCCCCUUGCCUUUAACCCUUCCUGCUCCACAAGGAGGAAAGCAGCCCCUUGCCUUGCUGAUGCCACCUCCCUCUGUAAGUGGAGGGGCACAGACCUGCCUCAUGGGGCAGAGGGAAUGAUCCUGGCCCCAUCUCCUUCUCUUUCUGCUCCAAGGAAGGCGAUGAGGACCCCGGUCCCCUCUUCAGGGCCACCCCAGGGGCAUCUCUCUCCUCCUCCUUUCUGCCUCCAUCCCCAGCCCAUGGCCUUCUGCCCCUUUCCUCCCUUCCCUUCACCACAUCCAGCCCUUUCACUUCCAUUUCCACAUCUCCAAACCCCUUUUAUCCCCCUAAAAAACUUCAGGGGACAGGAGAAAAAAAGAGAAAAUCGUUCAUCUCAGAGAGCUGAGCAGCAAACCCUGGCGAGCCAGCCUUUCCCCGUCCCCAGCCAGCACUGCAGCACUGCUGGCCAAAGGCAUCUGUGACAUCUCCAGUUAAGCAGGGACUGGAGCAGAGGGGCAGCUGGGGCCUGAAAUGCUUGUUUUCAGCCGACAGGCGGCUAUGCUGGAUUAGCACGGUGCAUGCACAGAAUGGAAAUCUCUCCCUUUCGCUCUCCAGCCUUUCGGGAGUUUGGUUGGUUUCAUCCAGGAAGGCUCCUGUGCACCUCCAGAGGUUUCUCCUACGGGGUGCACAUCCCGGAGGUUUCUCCUCCUCUUCUUCUUCCCCAGUGGCACAACGGGGAGCAGAACACUUCUAUGGGAAAAGUGCAGGGGGGGUGGCAAAACGAUCCCAUGCACAGCAUUUGUGAGCCCUACGGGGCAUCUUGGCCAUGCCUUUGGGUGGUGGGGCACAUGGGGGCACUCACCUUCUGAGCUGCUCAGAUCUCUCCUGUGUUGUAGGGCAAAGAAGCUCAGCACAAGGAAAAAAAAAUACUAGAAAGUGUCACAGACAAAAUUAAACAGGAGCAGGAACGUGACCCAGGAUUUAAAAAUGUAGAAAAUAAAGGGCUGAUGGCCUGUUUCUCA